This is a long non-coding RNA of Poecilia latipinna (sailfin molly), 698 nucleotides long. RefSeq lists it as uncharacterized. Lineage: Eukaryota; Metazoa; Chordata; Actinopteri; Cyprinodontiformes; Poeciliidae. The transcript has 2 exons. The record is from RefSeq and is a predicted model, not a curated record.
UAAAUUCCCCGUUUCCUGCUGUGGGAGGAUGUUUCCUCUCUUUCUUCUUCUCCUUCGUUGCUCUUCAUGUUUCUCUCCAAUUGUUGUUAAAGGUGAUUUUUUUUUACCACCAAAUAUGCGCAUUAGCCAUAUUUGGAGUUGCUUCUUGCAGUUUCAUCAAAGCAGAGUGGCUUCAAAUAGCUGAAACCACAAGUUUGUUCGAAGUGACAGAAUAACCGAAGAACAAAAGUUCCUAUUGGGUUUCCUGCUGUGACCUGCUGGAAAGUUUAUUUGACUUUUCCAGAAGUUCCCACGUCUAACUCGGCACAAACACGAGAUUCCACGAGCAACGGGAAACCUGGAGAGAGAGCGCAGCCAAAGCGGAGGAGAGGCGGCGAAGAAGACAAAGCCAAGUCUGUGCAGCAAGCGGCGAUAGCAUCGCUGCCGAAGUCAAAGAGCCCGUCUGUCUCCAACGACUCUCAGAAGCUCAGCCAGCAAAGAGGCGCGAUGCACACACAGCGAAGAAACUCGCAAAGAAAGACAAAACAGAGACACGACACACGGGGCGUCCACACUGACGACCUCGUUAAUUAUCAGUUCAUUUGGAAACUUUUUGGCUCCACUGCUGAUAAAUCAUCUUUUCUGACUAGUUUAUGAGCUAGAAGUUGGAAAUUAACCCUGAAAGCACCAACAGAAAUAAAGAUAUUUUUUUGACUUGA